This 183-nucleotide non-coding RNA is filed under the name Clostridia bacterium. Its description in RNAcentral is "6S RNA". It matches the Rfam family "6S / SsrS RNA". Rfam says of the family: E. coli 6S RNA was the first non coding RNA to be sequenced, but its function was unknown until recently. Lineage: Bacteria; Bacillati; Bacillota; Clostridia. The record is from RNAcentral.
GUAUAUCUGCGGUGUUCGUAGGAGCGAAAAACUCGUAAUCCACAAAUUGUAAAUCAGGGAGCUUAGGUCUUUCUCGUUAUGCAAGGUCUGUAUUUAUACGGAAAGUCAGAUACCCGAAAGUCGGGCACCCACCUGCUGAGGCGGGUUAAUACUUUUUCCUUUUACGGCACAGGCGGAUAUAUA